This 465-nucleotide ribosomal RNA is filed under the name uncultured bacterium. Its description in RNAcentral is "bacterial SSU rRNA". It matches the Rfam family "Bacterial small subunit ribosomal RNA", at positions 338 to 795 of the family's 1533-position model. The record is from RNAcentral.
CCUACGGGUCGCAGCAGUGGGGAAUAUUGCACAAUGGGCGCAAGCCUGAUGCAGCCAUGCCGCGUGUAUGAAGAAGGCCUUCGGGUUGUAAAGUACUUCCAGCGGGGAGGAAGGUGUUGUGGUUAAUAACCACAGCAAUUGACGUUACCCGCAGAAGAAGCACCGGCUAACUCCGUGCCAGCAGCCGCGGUAAUACGGAGGGUGCAAGCGUUAAUCGGAAUUACUGGGCGUAAAGCGCACGCAGGCGGUCUGUCAAGUCGGAUGUGAAAUCCCCGGGCUCAACCUGGGAACUGCAUUCGAAACUGGCAGGCUAGAGUCUUGUAGAGGGGGGUAGAAUUCCAGGUGUAGCGGUGAAAUGCGUAGAGAUCUGGAGGAACACCAGUGGCGAAGGCGGCUUACUGGUCUGCAACUGACGCUGAGGCGCGAAAGCGUGGGGAGCAAACAGGAUUAGAUACCCCAGUAGUC